RNAcentral lists this ribosomal RNA (984 nucleotides) under uncultured cyanobacterium. Its description in RNAcentral is "bacterial SSU rRNA". It matches the Rfam family "Bacterial small subunit ribosomal RNA". Lineage: Bacteria; Bacillati; Cyanobacteriota. The record is from RNAcentral.
GAGAGCCUUGGUGAACUCUUUCUAGGAGAUCUGCGGACUGAGAUCACUCGCUACUCGUCCAGAGCGCGUAUACGAGAGCAACGUAUCGGAAGAUGGCGUAAGGUCCCAGGGGGGUCCAUCGCGUCAAGUCAGGCUAACCUGACAGCAGUGAACUGCACAGUAGAGGCGGAGGGCAGAGGAAUCCUGGGUAGCGUGAAUGGUAGAGAUCAGAAGACACCGUGCGAAAGCGUCUGUAGCCGCAAUGACAUCAGGACGAAAGUAGGGAGCGAAUGGGAUAGAUACCCCAGUAGUCCUACCGUAACGAUGGAUAUAGGGUAGCUGGAUCGACCCGAGCUGUGCCGGAGCUAACGCGUAAGUAUCCCGCCUGGGAGUACGCGGCAAGCGGAAACUCAAAGGAAUGACGGGGCCCGCACAAGCGGUGGAGUAUGUGGUUAAUUCGAUGCAACGCGAAGAACCUUACCAGGGCUGACAGUCCGGAACCCUGCGAAAGGGGGGGGCCUACGGGAACCGGAACACAGGUGGUGCAUGGCGUCGUCAGCUCGGUCGGAGAUGUGGGUUAAGUCCCGCAGCGAGCGCAACCCUCGUGCUUAGUUGCCAGCGGGUAAUGCCGGGCACUCUAAGGAGACUGCCGGUGACAAACCGGAGGAAGGUGGGGAUGACGUCAAGUCAGCAUGCCCCUUACGUCCUGGGCGACACACGUACUACAAUGCUGCGGACAAAGGGCAGCAAGCCAGCAAUGGCAAGCAAAUCCCAUAAACCGUGGCUCAGUUCAGAUCGCAGGCUGCAACUCGCCUGCGUGAAGGCGGAAUCGCUAGUAAUCGCCGGUCAGCCAUACGGCGGUGAAUACGUUCCCGGGCCUUGUACACACCGCCCGUCACAUUAAGGAAGCUGACUAAACGGGGAGUCGGUCACCGUAUCCGCAAAAUCAGGGGGACGCGAAAGACAGGGUACGGCGGUCUGGGAAACAGUCGAAGCCAGGAUCCU